UACGUAGGGUGCGAGCGUUGUCCGGAAUUAUUGGGCGUAAAGAGCUCGUAGGCGGCUUGUCGCGUCGGAUGUGAAAGCCCGGGGCUUAACUCCGGGUCUGCAUUCGAUACGGGCAGGCUAGAGUUCGGUAGGGGAGAUCGGAAUUCCUGGUGUAGCGGUGAAAUGCGCAGAUAUCAGGAGGAACACCGGUGGCGAAGGCGGAUCUCUGGGCCAUAACUGACGCUGAUGCACGAAAGCUAGGGGAGCAAACAGG
RNAcentral lists this ribosomal RNA (253 nucleotides) under uncultured bacterium. Its description in RNAcentral is "partial 16S ribosomal RNA". It matches the Rfam family "Bacterial small subunit ribosomal RNA", at positions 524 to 776 of the family's 1533-position model. The record is from RNAcentral.